RNAcentral lists this ribosomal RNA (2222 nucleotides) under human gut metagenome. RNAcentral describes it as "bacterial LSU rRNA". It matches the Rfam family "Bacterial large subunit ribosomal RNA", at positions 179 to 2488 of the family's 2925-position model. The record is from RNAcentral.
GGGAACCGCCUGAACUGAAACAUCUAAGUAGGGCGAGGAAGAGAAAUCAACCGAGAUUCCGCUAGUAGUGGCGAGCGAACGCGGAAGAGGCCAAACCAAGAGUAGUAAUACUUUUGGGGUUUUGGACAGCAUACGGUAUUAACUGCGGUUAGUAGAAUGAAAUGGGAAGUUCAACCACAGAGCGUGAUAGUCGCGUACACGAAAACUAAAGUUAGCCAGCUGGAUCCAGAGUACCGCCGGACACGUGAAACCCGGUGGGAAGACGGGGGGACCACCCUCCAAGCCUAAAUACUCUCCAAUGACCGAUAGUGUAUAGUACUGUGAAGGAAAGGUGAAAAGAACCCCUGGCGGGGAGUGAAAUAGAACCUGAAACCUUGUGCCUACAAGCACAUAGAGCGCGUCAAUGCGUGAUAUGGUACCUUUUGUAGAAUGGUCCGGCGAGUGAAUGUCACUGGCAAGGUUAAGCUCUUCAGGAGUGCAGCCGAAGCGAAAGCGAGUCUGAAAUGGGCGUUUUAGUCAGUGGUAUUCGACCCGAAACCGGGUGACCUAGCCAUGAGCAGGCUGAAGUGGAGGUAAAACUCCAUGGAGGGCCGAACCCACUCCCGUUGAAAUGGUAGGGGAUGACUUGUGGCUAGCGGAGAAAUUCCAAUCGAACCCGGAGAUAGCUGGUUCUCUCCGAAAUAGCUUUAGGGCUAGCCUCAAUUAACAUUACCGCAGGUAAAGCACUGAAUGAGCUAGGGGGCGAAAGCUUACUGAACUCUAUCAAACUCAGAAUGGCGGAUAAUGAAUGAUUGGGAGUCACACUACGUGAGAUAAGUUUCGUGGUGGAAAGGGAAACAGCCCAGACCCACAGCUAAGGUCCCAAAGUACAGUUAAGUGGAAAAGGAUGUGAAAUUGCGCAGACAACCAGGAUGUUGGCUCAGAAGCAGCCACUCAUUCAAAGAGUGCGUAAUAGCUCACUGGUCGAGUGAUUUUGCGCCGAAAAUUUAACGGGGCUAAACUGUACACCGAAGCUUGGGAAUAUACAUUUGUAUGUUGGUAGGAGAGCGUUGUGUAAGGGGUGAAGUCGUAGCGAAAGCGGCGGUGGACUUUACACAAGUGAGAAUGCCGGAAUGAGUAGCGAGAAUUAUGUGAGAAUCAUAAUGGCCGAAAGACUAAGGUUUUAGAAGGAAGGUUCGUCCGCUUCUAGUUAGCCGGGAGCUAAGGCGAGGCCGAGAGGCGUAGUCGAUGCACAUACGGUUGAGAUUCCGUAGCUACCUUGCAUUUAAGCGAAGGGACACAUUUGAAGGGCAUGACCCGGGCGUUGGUUGACCCGGGCGUAAGGGACCGAAAAUAAGUAGGGAAGCAUGCUUGGAUGGUGGCGAGAAAAGCUUCGUGUAUAUAAGCAGGGUACCCGUACUGCAAACCGACACAGGUAGUCAGGAAGAGGAUUCUAAGGCCAUCGGGAGAAGCGUUGUUAAGGAACUCGGCAAAUUGACCCCGUAACUUCGGAAUAAGGGGUGCUCACGCGAGUGAGCCGCAGUGAAUAGGUCCAGGCAACUGUUUAUCAAAAACACAGCUCUCUGCUAAAUCGUAAGAUGACGUAUAGGGGGUGACACCUGCCCGGUGCUGGAAGGUUAAGAGGAGGAGUGCAAGCUCCGAAUUGAAGCCCCAGUAAACGGCGGCCGUAACUAUAACGGUCCUAAGGUAGCGAAAUUCCUUGUCGGGUAAGUUCCGACCCGCACGAAUGGUGUAACGAUCUGGACGCUGUCUCAACUGCCCACCCGGCGAAAUUGUAGUACCGGUGAAGAUGCCGGUUACCCGCGGCAAGACGGAAAGACCCCAUGGAGCUUCACUGUAGCCUGAUAUUGGGUCUCGGUAUUUUAUGUACAGGAUAGGCGGGAGACUUGGAAACCAGCACGCCAGUGUUGGCGGAGUCACCCUUGGGAUACCGCUCUUAAAGUAUUGAGAUUCUAACCUGCAGCCAUGAAUCUGGCUGGGGGACAUUGUCAGGUGGGCAGUUUGACUGGGGCGGUCGCCUCCAAAAGAGUAACGGAGGCGUUCAAAGGUUCACUCAGCAUGGACGGAAACCAUGCCUUAGAGUGCAAACGCAUAAGUGAGCCUAACUGCGAGACUGACGGGUCGAGCAGUAACGAAAGUUGGAGUUAGUGAUCCGGCGGUAUGUGAGUGGAAAUGCCGUCGCUCAACGGAUAAAAGCUACCCUGGGGAUAACAGGCUGAUCU